This is a long non-coding RNA of Phasianus colchicus (ring-necked pheasant), 4278 nucleotides long. RefSeq lists it as uncharacterized. The record is from RefSeq and is a predicted model, not a curated record. NCBI's taxonomy places the organism in Eukaryota, Metazoa, Chordata, Aves, Galliformes, Phasianidae.
CAAGUUUUGUGAUUUAUGUAUGCUUACUGUAUUAUGUUUUUCUACAAGGGCUGCUUCAAAAGUCACCACAAAAUGAAGAUCAUCUCGAUCAUGCGUGGCUAACGGUGAUGUCUGUGCCAAGGUGAAUGGAGUUCAAUCCAUUUGGUGGCCAGUGACCUCUGGCACUCCCCAGGGCUCAGUACUGGGGACAGCUUUCUUUAACAGUGAAUGACUGAGUGCACCCUCAAGAAGUUUGCAGAAACCUGGAAAGCUCUGAAGAGUGGUAUGGAUAGGCUACAUCAGUGGGAUGAGAUCAACCACAAUAAUGAGAUUAAAUUUCACCUACCUGAAUAUUUUGAAACGUAAAAAGAAUGUUGUCAUGGUGUUAGCAGCUCACAAGAUCAGAGUUAAUAUAAUAAAUGCAAUAAAUGCUGGGAUGUGGCCACAGACAAUAAAUCAAUUAUUUAUUUACCUUCUGAAUGUCUCCCUUGGCCCUUCAAAACUGAAGGUUUGAUGAAGCUGAGGGUUUUUCAAAAGCAUCCAGAUACCUGAAGAAAAUUGGACACUCCUGGGCUUUGCAUUUAAUGCAGAUGUUUAUGUACAGAUCUUAUCUCUAAUAUGAUCCCUUGUUAUUAAAAAUCAGAAUUAGUUUGUCAACUCACCUGCAUGAUGAAAGCUGAUGGCAGCUUACUGCAGCACUGAGUGCACAUGGGAUCUCUCUCUUUGAAUGCACACACAGGAGCUAAAAAACACACAGAUACAUUCAAUAUGCAAAUAUUCAUACAUUUGCUGUGAAUUCCAAGAAUUGCUAUACAUAUUAACAUCUAAUACUGUGCAUGCACAGGGUUCUUGCAAGGGGUGGUCAUUGGGUUCUACUGGAGAUGCUAUCCAGCCAAAAGGUCAUGAACUAAAUAGGUCAGAACCCUUAUUUGGUCACAAAUUAUUUACAGAAAUUGGCUGCUAAUUAUAAUGUUGUGGUGCCUAUAGUACCAACCCAAGCAGGGCACAGUGUACAUCUCCACAGCUUGUGGAACGCUGAGACUCUGCUUUUAGGCUCCAGAUGUCCUGCUUAUCACAGAACAACAACCUUCCUCAGAUAGAAUGUCGGCUUGCUGAAGAUUCUGAAUUAAUUGCUGGGCAUCAAAGCUCUCAAGAAUUUCCAGUGUAAGAGCUUGAUAAUUGGAUCCAUUCUUAAUAGAUUUUGGUCAGUGUCAAGCAAGCCACUUUAGUGCUUAGGGAUUUGGGAUGUAGUGAACAAGAAUUGUUUGUUGGGUUCAGAAGUUUACAUUUAAAAUUGCAAACUGAAUAUAAGAAAGCUGUAAGGCACUUUCUUCGUGCUUUCUUCUCUGUUAAGGACACACUCUAAAAGACAGAAAGGGAGACAGCUAACACAGCUGUGCUUUUCUUACUGUUGGAGUGGUGUUAAGAGGUAGGUUGGGGAAAAUAAUGGAACAUAAACAGUUAUGUGCAGCUUUUUUUUAAUUAUUUAAAAAUGUUAGGCUGAUGAAAUUAUCACUAGCUGUUAGACCUCCUGAUGUUCUUGACAAGGACUUUUAAAUCACUCUGGGGCUAAAAGUCUGCAGGAGCAUAAAUUCCUGUUCUACCCUCUCUGUUUAGUGGAGGUCAGGUAUGAUCUUAAUGUUUAGUGUAAAGCUGUUCCUAAAGCAGUGCUUGAAACUGUUCUCUUUCUGCUGAUUGCGUGUAAGAGAGAAGAGCAAAAAUCCGUCUGUUAGUUUCACACAAUGUUCAGUGUUAUUGGUGGUGUCAGAGACUGAAGCAGCUGAAUAUGUGGUCCUUCAUGUGGAAAGGAGCCAUAGAAAGGCAUGGCUGCACUUCACAAGAUCAACGCUUUUUUUUACGUGCACGUUUUAUUGGCUUCCAUUCAAGUUUCAAGGCAAUCGCUGGUAAUUGUGAAAAGCUAAGAUUUGGGAUCUGAAUUUAAGAACUUCAAAAACUAAGUAGUCUUUGCAAAAGAUGUUAUAUCCCAGAGGCACUAAUUAGGCAUUCACAAUCUCAUUUCCUGUAUUUUUAUUUGAAAAAAUAAAUUGUUUGGCUUCCAGACUCACCCAUAUCCUUCUGAGUUUUACCAGUAUCUAUCCAUGGUUAAAUGCUGUAAUGAAUCCCGUGCCUUCAGUUCUGAGCAACCUUAAUUCCAAGUGAUUAACAUGGCAUCUGACAUGACUUAACCUCAGAGAAGAUUCAGUAAGAAUUGUGUCAGAGGCUUUUGGUGGGUAUCAGCAAAAUAAAGCUAAGGCUUAGGUAGUCUUAAAUAGUAAAGUUACUUCUCUGAGUGUUCAACCAAUGACUUCAGCUGUCUUAAAGGAAGAAAUCUAUCUUGGUUGAAGUAUUUUGACACUCACAGACACAAGUACUGCAGCUGGACACCUUCCAAAAGUGUGUUUUGUCUGAAAAGCAAUCACAUCUUAUAGAACACUGGGUUACUCAGCAAAGCUAUGUGCUUCUACUGCUCUGAGAAUAACACGGAGUACAUCAUCCAUCUGAUUUACUUCCCCACUCAUCUUUUCUUCAAACUAAAUCCUUUAAAACAGAGCACAAAUGAAGAUACAUUAAUAGAUGUCCUUUUUUUGAUUUUAAAUCCACUGUUAAAUUCAAUCUGAGCAUAGAUCAAAUGGGUGACAUCAACAGCAACUGCUGAAAAAUGCUUUUUGUUUUGUUGCUGUCAACCUUUCUUGCAGCAUUGCAGGUUGGUUUAAGAUUCCCUUCUCUUUUGCUGUAGUUAAAAUCUGUACAGACACAAGUUUUGCACACCUUACAGUGGGUUGAAACAAUGUAAUUCCUGAAAGGUGAGUUUCUUUCACUUUAUUGUUGAUGCCAGAUCCACAAUUUAGAACACAGCUACACUAAAAACAUAUUUAAACUGUAAGCCCUAUGUCUGCACUGUAUCUCUGUUAUUUAAUUCAUGGAGAUAGGAUAAAAUGAUACUUAAAUUUCUAGAACUGUGUCUGUCUCCACUUUUUGGUUUGGAGAAAUCAUGAAGUUUUCAGAGAGAUGUUUUCCUAAUCCAGAUUAGAUCGGUUUGAAAUAGUGAAAAUCCCACUAGAACAGCCUGGGAUUAAAUUAUCUAUUGUAGUUUUGUCUCUGGUGAAAACUGUCUGAGAAGAGCAACAGCAUUCAUUGAAUCACAGAACCAUGGAAUCACCAAGGCUGGAACAGACCUCCAAGACCAUCUCAUCCAGCCAUCCACCUACCACCAGUAUUUCCCCACUAAACCAAACACUAGCCCAAAUUUUACUUUUAAAUUCAGAUUCUAAACCAUCUCGUGUCAGGAUCUAAAUACCACUUCUUGGUUCUAGUUCUAGCCUGUAUGUAACCUACUAAUGCAAAACUCCCCAAACUUCCCAACCUCCUCUAUUGGCAUGCUAAAAUUGGUAUUGUUCUUGAAGCAGUAAGACAGGCCGUGCCUUAUGGAUACCCUGAGAAUCAUAAAAUAUCAUAUCAAUUAAUUUAAUACCAUUCUUAAUUUUAAUGAAUAAUUGAAUAUCACGUUCCAGGCGGCGGUUGUUCCUCCCAAUGGCUCUGGAUUGGAGUUGCAGUAACGCAGAGCAGCCAGCAGGUGGCGCUCUCAGCACAGUCAAGCGAGGAAUCCUCCCAGCUCCGAGUAUGAAUUGAGGCAAACACCGGGCGUGCAGAAACAGCGCUGAGAAUUCUUUUACCAUCAAGUAUCGAUCGCUGGUCCAUUUUAGUGCACGUAUAUGAGAAUGUCUACUGUCAGCAUUUUGCUUACCUGGAAAUGUAUUCUCAGUAUGGGAGGAAAUUGCCCUAUGACGCUCAGGAAUGGUAUAUGAUUUGAACCCUAAUGCUAACCCUAGCUGGCUGGUACUGCAGUGCUGUAGGAAAAACAUCAGCUCUGUGUCCCCAGGAAGCAGGGCCUUGCCAGGAUGCCUUUGCAGUCAUAUCAACUGACCAUAUCUUUUCCAAGAGCUGUACAAGCAGUUUCCUGAUUUGCACCAUGACUGAAACCUUUAGUAAGAAAAAGCCAUUGGAAUUGCAGCUGUGGACUUACCUAGCCAUAUAUCAUAAUAUCAUAGCCAUGAUAUCAUUAUAUCAUACAGCUGCCAAAGUGAAAGAAUGGGUGGCUUGUGGAAAGGAACAGCAAAGAAGGAGAAUAUUGCACAUGAGGAGAAAAAAACUGACAGAAGGAAAAACUGAAAGAACUUAGGCUUAAAUGGCAGCAGGAAAGGAGAUAUAAGGAUGAAGUUUAAUAGCAUUUUUGAACAUGCUUGCAACAGAUCAGCAACAAAGGUGAGAUACUUAGGAAUGAUAGAAGAUAAAUAAAUU